GGGGAUAGGAGGUAGAACAUUAUUUCCAUGUUGGGUGUGACUGAACUGGGGUAGUUUUCCUUCCACAGAUUACUGGAUUCUUUCCGGGGAUGUUUUUCUUUGACGUUGAUGCCAUUUUGAAGUCUUUUGACUGAAUGCAGGCUAACAAGGGUUCACAUUCGGUGCUGUAAACAGUCCUGUUCCACGGCAACAAGAAGGGAAAAAAGGACACAUUUCUUGGGAAGCGGCAAUAAAAAUGUUUUCUAUACAAAUCGAAUGGCACGAGAGGUGGUCCAAAUGCUAAAUGUCCCACCACAAAUGGAGAAUGAAGAAUCUGUUCCAAACACGCACGUGAAGAGAGGAAAGCAGAAUCAUUGGCUUAAAGCUGCAAUAUAUUACAAGGUGAUACCAUUGAAACAUUUGGGCAGGGAAUCUCAAAUGAAUGUUUGUAGGGCGGAACAUUUCGAAAUCCUUUAAAAGAAGGAUUACCUCCUGUUGAGAUCCCAACUUGACUGCUAGAUGGCCGGCACAUUCUCAAAUGCAGGGACCCACAAAUGAAGGCACAGCUCACUAGCCAGCCAUUAUCUGUGGUUGCCACCAAUCCCCUC
Hemicordylus capensis (graceful crag lizard) is the source of this 587-nucleotide long non-coding RNA. RefSeq lists it as uncharacterized. The transcript has 3 exons. The record is from RefSeq and is a predicted model, not a curated record. Lineage: Eukaryota; Metazoa; Chordata; Lepidosauria; Squamata; Cordylidae.